GGCUGGUCCGAAGGUAGUGAGUUUUCUCAAUUGUUCACAGUCAGUUACAGAUUGAACUCCUUGUUCUACUCAUUCCCCUUUCUCACUAUUGCAUUUGACUAGUCUUAA
This 108-nucleotide Y RNA is filed under the name Prolemur simus (greater bamboo lemur). Its description in RNAcentral is "Y RNA (ENSPSMG00000011170.1)". It matches the Rfam family "Y RNA". Rfam says of the family: Y RNAs are components of the Ro ribonucleoprotein particle (Ro RNP), in association with Ro60 and La proteins. The Y RNAs and Ro60 and La proteins are well conserved, but the function of the Ro RNP is not known. Lineage: Eukaryota; Metazoa; Chordata; Mammalia; Primates; Lemuridae. The record is from Rfam by way of RNAcentral.